CAUGCAAGUCGCAGGGUAACAUGAGGAAAGCUUGCUUUCCUUGAUGACGACUGGCGCACGGGUGAGUAACGCGUAUCCAACCUUCCCAUAACUACGGGAUAACCCGUUGAAAGACGGCCUAAUACCGUAUGAUAUCGUUUGCUGACAUCAAAUAACGAUUAAAGGUUUAGCGGUUAUGGAUGGGGAUGCGUCUGAUUAGCUUGUUGGCGGGGUAACGGCCCACCAAGGCUACGAUCAGUAGGGGUUCUGAGAGGAAGGUCCCCCACAUUGGAGCUGAGACACGGUCCAAACUCCUACGGGAGGCAGCAGUGAGGAAUAUUGGUCAAUGGGCGAGAGCCUGAACCAGCCAAGUAGCGUGCAGGAUGACGGCCCUAUGGGUUGUAAACUGCUUUUAUGUGGGGAUAAAGUGCGUGACGUGUCAUGCAUUGCAGGUACCACAUGAAUAAGGACCGGCUAAUUCCGUGCCAGCAGCCGCGGUAAUACGGAAGGUCCGGGCGUUAUCCGGAUUUAUUGGGUUUAAAGGGAGCGUAGGCUGUCUAUUAAGCGUGUUGUGAAAUUUACCGGCUCAACCGGUAGCUUGCAGCGCGAACUGGUCGACUUGAGUAUGCAGGAAGUAGGCGGAAUUCAUGGUGUAGCGGUGAAAUGCUUAGAUAUCAUGACGAACUCCGAUUGCGCAGGCAGCUUACUGUAGCAUAACUGACGCUGAUGUUCGAAAGUGCGGGUAUCAAACAGGAUUAGAUACCCUGGUAGUCCGCACGGUAAACGAUGGAUGCUCGCUAUUCGUCCUAUUUGGAUGAGUGGCCAAGUGAAAACAUUAAGCAUCCCACCUGGGGAGUACGCCGGCAACGGUGAAACUCAAAGGAAUUGACGGGGGCCCGCACAAGCGGAGGAACAUGUGG
This 899-nucleotide ribosomal RNA is filed under the name uncultured bacterium. Its description in RNAcentral is "bacterial SSU rRNA". It matches the Rfam family "Bacterial small subunit ribosomal RNA", at positions 54 to 944 of the family's 1533-position model. The record is from RNAcentral.